Molecule: ribosomal RNA, 1306 nt
Filed under: uncultured bacterium
Lineage: Bacteria
Description: bacterial SSU rRNA
Rfam family: Bacterial small subunit ribosomal RNA
Source: RNAcentral
AACGUACGCUGGCGGCACGCCUAACACAUGCAAGUCGAACGAAGUAGCAAUACUUAGUGGCAGACGGGUGAGUAACAUGUAGGUAUCUGCCCUUUGGCCUGGAAUAACACGAGGAAACUUGUGCUAAUACCGGAUAAGUCUUUACGGAGAAAGCUUUAUGCACCAUUGGAUGAGCCUGCACUUGAUUAGUUUGUUGGUGGGGUAAUGGCCUACCAAGACUGUGAUCAAUAGCUGAUUUGAGAGGAUGAUCAGCCACAUUGGGACUGAGACACGGCCCAAACUCCUACGGGAGGCAGCAGUGGGGAAUCUUGCACAAUGGAGGAAACUCUGAUGCAGCGAUGCCGCGUGAGUGAAGAAGGCCCUUGGGUUGUAAAGCUCUUUCGUCGGGGAAGAAAAUGACUGUACCCGAAUAAGAAGGUCCGGCUAACUUCGUGCCAGCAGCCGCGGUAAUACGAAGGGACCUAGCGUAGUUCGGAAUUACUGGGCUUAAAGAGUUCGUAGGUGGUUGAAAAAGUUAGUGGUGAAAUCCCAGAGCUUAACUCUGGAACUGCCAUUAAAACUUUUCAGCUAGAGUAUGAUAGAGGAAAGCAGAAUUUCUAGUGUAGAGGUGAAAUUCGUAGAUAUUAGAAAGAAUACCAAUUGCGAAGGCAGCUUUCUGGAUCAUUACUGACACUGAGGAACGAAAGCAUGGGUAGCGAAGAGGAUUAGAUACCCUCGUAGUCCAUGCCGUAAACGAUGUGUGUUAGACGUUGGAAAUUUAUUUUCAGUGUCGCAGGGAAACCGAUAAACACACCGCCUGGGGAGUACGACCGCAAGGUUAAAACUCAAAUGAAUUGACGGGGACCCGCACAAGUAGUGGAGCAUGUGGUUUAAUUCGAAGAUACGCGCAGAACCUUACCAACACUUGACAUGUUCGUCGCGACUUUAAGAGAUUAAAGUUUUCGGUUCGGCCGGACGAAACACAGGUGCUGCAUGGCUGUCGUCAGCUCGUGUCGUGAGAUGUUGGGUUAAGUCCCGCAACGAGCGCAACCCUCACUUUUAGUUGCCAUCAUCUAGUUGGGCACUCUGAAAGAACUGCCAGUGAUAAGCUGGAGGAAGGUGGGGAUGACGUCAAGUCCUCAUGGCCCUUACGUGUUGGGCUACACACGUGCUACAAUGGUAUCUACAACAGGAAGCAAGACUGCGAAGUUCUGAAGGACCCUAAAAGAUACCUCAGUUCGGAUUGCACUCUGCAACUCGAGUGCAUGAAGCUGGAAUUACUAGUAAUCGUGGAUCAGCGUGCCACGGUGAAUGCGUUCCCGGGUCU